GUGUCAGCAGCCGCGGUAAUACAGAGGGGGCAAGCGUUGUCCGGAUUUACUGGGCGUACAGCGCGCGCAGGCGGCUGGGAACGUGCCGUGUGACAAGCCACCGCUCACCGGUGGAGGGCCAUGGUAGACGUCCCGGCUAGAGGCAGGGAGAGGGAUGUGGAAUGCCCGGUGGAGCGGUGAAAUGCGUAGAGAUCGGGCGGAACACCAGCGGCGAAGGCGGCAUCCUGGUCCUGUACUGACGCUGAGGCGCGAGAGCGUGGGGAGCGAACUGGAUUAGAUACCCAGGUAGUCCACGCCGUAAACGAUGUGUACCCGGCGCUGGGCAGUGAUUGCGCUGCUCGGUGCCUCAGCUUACGCAGUGAGUACACCGCCUGGGGACUACGGCCGCAAGGCUAAA
This 397-nucleotide ribosomal RNA is filed under the name uncultured bacterium. RNAcentral's name for it is "bacterial SSU rRNA". It matches the Rfam family "Bacterial small subunit ribosomal RNA", at positions 505 to 898 of the family's 1533-position model. The record is from RNAcentral.